This 443-nucleotide ribosomal RNA is filed under the name uncultured bacterium. RNAcentral describes it as "partial 16S ribosomal RNA". It matches the Rfam family "Bacterial small subunit ribosomal RNA", at positions 338 to 795 of the family's 1533-position model. The record is from RNAcentral.
CCUACGGGUGGCUGCAGUGGGGAAUAUUGGGCACUGGGCGCAAGCCUGACCCAGCAACGCCGCGUGAAGGAAGAAGGCACUCGGGUUGUAAACUUCUUUUAUCAAUGACGACCCAAAUGACGGUACUUGAUGAAUAAGCCACGGCUAACUACGUGCCAGCAGCCGCGGUAAUACGUAGGUGGCAAGCGUUAUCCGGAUUUACUGGGUGUAAAGGGCGUGUAGGUGGGACUGUAAGUCAGAUGUGAAAAUUAUGGGCUCAACCCAAAGCUUGCAUUUGAUACUGUAGGUCUUGAGUACUGUUGAGGCAGGCGGAAUUCGUGGUGUAGCGGUGAAAUGCUUAGAUAUAACGAAGAACUCCGAUUGCGAAGGCAGCUUACUAAACAGCCACUGACAUUGAGGCUCGAAAGUGUGGGUAUCAAACAGGAUUAGAUACCCGGGUAGUC